GCGUGAUGUCAUCGGAUUUCUGGUGUGGCGCGGAAGCGUGUAAGGGUGUGGAUUGAGGAAACCUGCGAUACACUGUUACAGAGUGUGCUGUAUAAGAUCACGACGGAGCUUCCUGUGUACCACGAGUUGUAUAGACCGUUGCCAACUUAAGGCCAGGACCAAGCUUUGAGAGACGUUGCAGUGGUUUUUUUUCGUGGGACGCUGUCGGCUGCACGCUCGUAUAUAGACACUGGUGCUGUUAUUUUCUGGGCAGCCGUGGAGUGCUGACCGCCUCGUUCUACGGCACGGUACCCAGACUAUCAGUGCGUCUGUUUCAGCGCGGGCUAUACCGAAUAUCGACCGAACGGAGAUCCAGGUUUAUUAAACAGUCCAGUCCAUGGGGAAAACAAAUAAAAAUGUCCCUGUAAGUACAAAAUGGUUGUAAAUGGCAGUUUUAUAAUGAAAUGUUUGGUGCUUGGCACUAAAAAGCAUGUUCAAUUUUUGCUAAAACAGUUAAA
Onychostoma macrolepis is the source of this 497-nucleotide long non-coding RNA. RefSeq lists it as uncharacterized. The record is from RefSeq and is a predicted model, not a curated record. Lineage: Eukaryota; Metazoa; Chordata; Actinopteri; Cypriniformes; Cyprinidae. The transcript has 4 exons.